RNAcentral lists this ribosomal RNA (460 nucleotides) under uncultured bacterium. RNAcentral's name for it is "partial 16S ribosomal RNA". It matches the Rfam family "Bacterial small subunit ribosomal RNA", at positions 338 to 795 of the family's 1533-position model. The record is from RNAcentral.
CCUACGGGUGGCAGCAGUGAGGAAUAUUGGUCAAUGGGCGCGAGCCUGAACCAGCCAAGUAGCGUGAAGGAUGACUGCCCUACGGGUUGUAAACUUCUUUUAUAAAGGACUAAAGUGAGGCACGUGUGCCUUUUUGUAUGUACUUUAUGAAUAAGGACCGGCUAACUCUGUGCCAGCAGCCGCGGUAAUACGGAGGAUCCGAGCGUUAUCCGGAUUUAUUGGGUUUAAAGGGAGCGUAGAUGGGGUGUUAAGUCAGUUGUGAAAGUUUGCGGCUCAACCGUAAAAUUGCAAUUGAUACUGGCAGCCUUGAGUACAGUUGAGGUAGGCGGAAUUCGUGGUGUAGCGGUGAAAUGCUUAGAUAUCACGAAGAACUCCGAUUGCGAAGGCAGCUUACUAAACUGCCACUGACGUUGAGGCUCGAAAGUGUGGGUAUCAAACAGGAUUAGAUACCCCAGUAGUC